Molecule: long non-coding RNA, 1000 nt
Filed under: Olea europaea subsp. europaea
Lineage: Eukaryota; Viridiplantae; Streptophyta; Magnoliopsida; Lamiales; Oleaceae
Source: RNAcentral
AUGAAUUUAUGAUGUUGAGUGUGUAAAUAUUUUUAUAUGUCGUCUCUUCUCGUCACCACAUUGAACUAUUCAACUUAAAAUCUUCAUUCAAAUCAAUCUCCACCAAUCCAGGUUAUUCCAAUACUACCGAAGAAGUCACCGUCCCCAAGACCUAUGAAUGGACCUAUCAUGCAAGUGAUCACUCAACCUGGCAGAUAGUCUGCAUCUACCAUCUAGUGUGCACUAGUCAUUGUGCCAAUAGAGACAAGUAAUUUUAUGAUUAUUAUUUAGUUCUUAAUUCUAUUUUUGUUUUUUGUUAUUGACAUCAUAUUUUUGUAACACCUACAUUACACACAUUACAAGGAUACAAAAGGUUGGAUCCAUCUUCUGACUAAGGAGAUAUAUGUACUGAACAAAUACUAUAAGUCUUUAACCUUAGUGUUACUUGAUGGAAUAAAUAUUAUUCUACAUUAUUUGUGUCAACACUUUUCAUUGUCAAGUAGAAGGACUUGUCAUACAGACAACACAACAAGCACAUGUUAAUGGAGUGAAGACUGAAGAGUAAGAGCCAAGGAGUACAACUCACUGCUAAUGACAUUGUGAAUCAAGUCCUUGCACAACUUUUUGCUGCUAUAGUUGUUUGGGCAGGGCUCCAAAGGUUCCACAUACAUCUCGUGUAGACACGACUCAACGAGAACACACCGAGCUUCACAAAGCUGUGCAUAACUUGAAAGGCUAGAAUUAGCUUAUCCUCGCCUUGUUAGAAGAGAUAAUCCCAGGUGCUACAGCUAGAAUAGGCAGUUCUAGAGUUCCAACUACUCAUUCAUCAUCAUCACCUGAUCACGAGGCUUGCGAUGAUCAUUAAUUUAGAGUUCUUCUAUCCCAUUUACAUGUUUUUAUAUUUUGAUGGUUAAUACUCCGUCAUUACAUGUGCUAUUAUUUUGGACUAAACUAGCCUUCUCAUCUUUGAAACUUGACUAGUUUUUAUUUUAGAUACCAUUAUAUUUGGACUCUAUGUGCU